This 459-nucleotide ribosomal RNA is filed under the name uncultured bacterium. RNAcentral describes it as "partial 16S ribosomal RNA". It matches the Rfam family "Bacterial small subunit ribosomal RNA", at positions 338 to 795 of the family's 1533-position model. The record is from RNAcentral.
CCUACGGGGGGCAGCAGUGAGGAAUAUUGGUCAAUGGGCGCGAGCCUGAACCAGCCAAGUCGCGUGAGGGAAGACGGUCCUAUGGAUUGUAAACCUCUUUUGUCGGGGAGCAAAAGACGCCACGCGUGGCGUUCCGAGAGUACCCGAAGAAAAAGCAUCGGCUAACUCCGUGCCAGCCGCCGCGGUAAUACGGAGGAUGCGAGCGUUAUCCGGAUUUAUUGGGGUUAAGGGGGGCGUAGGCGGGACCUUAAGUCAGCGGUAAAAUUGCGGUGCUCAACGCCGUAGAGCCGUUGAAACUGGGGUUCUUGAGUGAGCGAGAAGUAGGCGGAAUGCGUGGUGUAGCGGUGAAAUGCAUAGAUAUCACGCAGAACCCCGAUUGCGAAGGCAGCAUACCGGCGCUCAACUGACGCUGAGGCACGAAAGUGCGGGUAUCGAACAGGAUUAGAUACCCGAGUAGUC